This 506-nucleotide ribosomal RNA is filed under the name uncultured bacterium. Its description in RNAcentral is "partial 16S ribosomal RNA". It matches the Rfam family "Bacterial small subunit ribosomal RNA", at positions 30 to 523 of the family's 1533-position model. The record is from RNAcentral.
AUUGAACGCUGGCGGCAGGCCUAACACAUGCAAGUCGAACGGUAACAGGAAACAGCUUGCUGUUUCGCUGACGAGUGGCGGACGGGUGAGUAAUGUCUGGGAAACUGCCUGCUGGAGGGGGAUAACUACUGGAAACGGUAGCUAAUACCGCAUAACGUCGCAAGACCAAAGAGGGGGACCUUCGGGCUUCUUGCCAUCGGAUGUGACCAGAUGGGAUUAGCUAGUAGGUGGGGUAACGGCUCACCUAGGCGACGAUCCCUAGCUGGUCUGAGAGGAUGACCAGCCACACUGGAACUGAGACACGGUCCAGACUCCUACGGGAGGCAGCAGUGGGGAAUAUUGCACAAUGGGCGCAAGCCUGAUGCAGCCAUGCCGCGUGUAUGAAGAAGGCCUUCGGGUUGUAAAGUACUUUCAGCGGGGAGGAAGGGAGUAAAGUUAAUACCUUUGCUCAUUGACGUUACCCGCAGAAGAAGCACCGGCUAACUCCGUGCCAGCAGCCGCCGUAA